UACGAAGGGGGCUAGCGUUGCUCGGAAUCACUGGGCGUAAAGCGCACGUAGGCGGACUCUUAAGUCGGUGGUGAAAUCCUGGAGCUCAACUCCAGAACUGCCUUCGAUACUGAGAGUCUCGAGUCCGAGAGAGGUGAGUGGAACUGCGAGUGUAGAGGUGAAAUUCGUGGAUAUUCGCAAGAACACCAGUGGCGAAGGCGGCUCACUGGCUCGGUACUGACGCUGAGGUGCGAAAGCGUGGGGAGCAAACAGG
Molecule: ribosomal RNA, 253 nt
Filed under: uncultured bacterium
Lineage: Bacteria
Description: partial 16S ribosomal RNA
Rfam family: Bacterial small subunit ribosomal RNA
Source: RNAcentral